This 253-nucleotide ribosomal RNA is filed under the name uncultured bacterium. RNAcentral describes it as "partial 16S ribosomal RNA". It matches the Rfam family "Bacterial small subunit ribosomal RNA", at positions 524 to 776 of the family's 1533-position model. The record is from RNAcentral.
UACGUAGGGUGCAAGCGUUGUCCGGAAUUAUUGGGCGUAAAGAGCUCGUAGGCGGUUUGUUGCGUCGGCUGUGAAAUCCCGAGGCUCAACCUCGGGUCUGCAGUCGAUACGAGCAAACUAGAGUGUUGCAGGGGAGACUGGAAUUCCUGGUGUAGCGGUGAAAUGCGCAGAUAUCAGGAGGAACACCGGUGGCGAAGGCGGGUCUCUGGGCAACAACUGACGCUGAGGAGCAAAAGCGUGGGGAGCGAACAGG